Cucumis melo (muskmelon) is the source of this 920-nucleotide long non-coding RNA. RefSeq lists it as uncharacterized. The transcript has 2 exons. Lineage: Eukaryota; Viridiplantae; Streptophyta; Magnoliopsida; Cucurbitales; Cucurbitaceae. The record is from RefSeq and is a predicted model, not a curated record.
AUUGUUGCUCUUUUAAAACAAUUUUGUAAGAAAAACAGCAAGCUAAGAGUGUGUUUUAUAAAUUUUAGCUUCAAACUAAAAAGGGAAAAAAAAAAAAACAAUUAUAGUGUUUGAUAAGUAAUUAUUAUAUUGUUGAGGUUUAGGUUGUAAUAAUUACUAUCACCAGAUUCACAACUACUAACAUAAACUAAGACAUAAUAAUGUUGUGGUACUUUUUAGUUUGUUUGAGAAUGGAUUAUUAUUCAAAUAUGUGAAGUUUUAGUAGGAGAAAACCCACCAUGGAAUUUUUCUUUGGCUCUAAAUUGGUUUGUUACAGCUUAAAAUGAAACUAUACUUAGGAAAAGAAAACUGAAGUUAGAGAAAUAAAUGGAAUAAAAAGUAAAAAAAUAGAAAAGAAAGAGAAAAGGGUGCUGAUUUCCACGUAAGAAGUAACGUAAAGGAACGGAAGCAAUCAGCACUGUGGAUAAGAACGUGGAGUGUGACGUCACCAACUUCUGCAACAUCCGAUUAAUCCUUUUUCACUCUCUUUCUUUAUGUCUUUAACCCUAAACUCCAAAUUCCAAAUUCCAAAUCCUACCCCUAAAAUAAACCACUUUGUUUAUUGAUCUUCUUCUUCCCAUUUCCAAUGACGUUGGAGCUUUUCGUCUUGUGCUGCACUGCCGUUGUGGUCUUCCUCCAUGGAGCUAAUUUCUUCUUCCACGCUCUCUUCCACCAUUUCACCGUCCUCCGAUCUCUCAGUUUCUUGGGUGCGAUUGGAAUGUGGUAGGAAUUGGAGAAGGGGAGUGGUGGAUCGUUUAAUCGGAGAUUGAACGCCAGAUUGGACUCUGUAUAUAUCCGACAUUCUGAUUUUUAAUUUGUUAUCUAGAUUUACUCUUUGAUCAUAAUUUAAUUCCCAUGAAUAAAUUAAUUAAUUAAUUAAA